RNAcentral lists this ribosomal RNA (589 nucleotides) under Candida tropicalis. RNAcentral describes it as "partial large subunit ribosomal RNA". It matches the Rfam family "Eukaryotic large subunit ribosomal RNA", at positions 53 to 658 of the family's 3401-position model. The record is from RNAcentral. Lineage: Eukaryota; Fungi; Ascomycota; Pichiomycetes; Serinales; Debaryomycetaceae.
GAGGAAAAGAAACCAACAGGGAUUGCCUUAGUAGCGGCGAGUGAAGCGGCAAAAGCUCAAAUUUGAAAUCUGGCUCUUUCAGAGUCCGAGUUGUAAUUUGAAGAAGGUAUCUUUGGGUCUGGCUCUUGUCUAUGUUUCUUGGAACAGAACGUCACAGAGGGUGAGAAUCCCGUGCGAUGAGAUGAUCCAGGCCUAUGUAAAGUUCCUUCGAAGAGUCGAGUUGUUUGGGAAUGCAGCUCUAAGUGGGUGGUAAAUUCCAUCUAAAGCUAAAUAUUGGCGAGAGACCGAUAGCGAACAAGUACAGUGAUGGAAAGAUGAAAAGAACUUUGAAAAGAGAGUGAAAAAGUACGUGAAAUUGUUGAAAGGGAAGGGCUUGAGAUCAGACUUGGUAUUUUGUAUGUUACUUCUUCGGGGGUGGCCUCUACAGUUUAUCGGGCCAGCAUCAGUUUGGGCGGUAGGAGAAUUGCGUUGGAAUGUGGCACGGCUUCGGUUGUGUGUUAUAGCCUUCGUCGAUACUGCCAGCCUAGACUGAGGACUGCGGUUUAUACCUAGGAUGUUGGCAUAAUGAUCUUAAGUCGCCCGUCUUGAA